GGAAGCCAAUACAAUAGAGAUUUAAUUUUUCAUCACCUCUUCCAAAUUGCAACCGUCAGCGUAGUUAUUAAUUGGAUUAAUACUCCGACCCAUCACUUCCAUAACUCCCAUAAUUACAGCCAUAUAACCCUGAUUGAAUUCAACAUUUACUUCACCGACCCCUAAUUCCUAAUUGCUAUUUGAAAACCAAGAAUCUUGAAGUGAAAACAAUGGCCGAUGAAAACACAGCGACACCAAGGAGAGACCCAUCAAUAAUCCAGCAGCUUGUUUGUUGAACAAGAUUCUGAAGGACAAUGUGGUUCAGAAUGCAAAACCAUUGAACGAGCUUGUCAAGAGGUGGAGCGUUUGGAGGGAACCAAGGUGCACGACCAGGUGCCUUUUCGUCGUUAUAUGUUUGCGAUGUAAGAUCAAGGGUGCUGGCAGGUGUGGCUUUGGGUUAGAAUCCGCAAUGGCGUUACUUGCUGGAAAACGAAUGGCGAAAACCGGGAUCUUUCUUGAUUCGUAUCUUUUAUAUUACAACUUGCGCUUCGUAUGUUUAAUGUAAACUAAAAACCCCUCUAGAUUUUUUUUGGGUGCCAGAAUGUAUAUAGAAUGAAACAUACAUCAAUUAACUA
Helianthus annuus (common sunflower) is the source of this 614-nucleotide RNA transcript. RefSeq lists it as uncharacterized. The transcript is spliced from 4 exons. Lineage: Eukaryota; Viridiplantae; Streptophyta; Magnoliopsida; Asterales; Asteraceae. The record is from RefSeq and is a predicted model, not a curated record.